Molecule: ribosomal RNA, 494 nt
Filed under: uncultured bacterium
Lineage: Bacteria
Description: partial 16S ribosomal RNA
Rfam family: Bacterial small subunit ribosomal RNA
Source: RNAcentral
GACGAACGCUGGCGGCGUGCUUAACACAUGCAAGUCGAACGGAAAGGCCUGCUUUCCCUUGUGGAUUGCGGGUACUCGAGUGGCGAACGGGUGAGUAACACGUGAGUGAUCUGCCCCCAACUUGGGUAUAAGCCUGGGAAACUGGGUCUAAUUCUCGAUAGGACUGCAGGGUGGUGCCUGUGGUGGAAAACGAUGUUCUAGUGGUUGGGGAUGAGCCGGCGGCCUAUCAGCUUGUUGGUGGGGUAAUGGCCUACCAAGGCGGGGAGGGGUAGCCGGAGUGUGAGCGUGGACGGUGGCAUUGAGACUGAGACACGGCCCAGACUGCUACGGGAGGCAGGGGUGGGGAAUAAUGGACAGUGGGCGGAAGCCUGAUGCAGCGACGCGGCGUGGGGGAUGACGGGCUUCGGGUGGUAAUCUGCUGUCGACGAAGAGCAACAGACCUGGUUGGAGGGGUGGUGACGGUAGUGGUAGAAGAAGCACCGGCUAACUACGUG